GGCUUGAUAGCUCAAUAGUAUAGAGCAUCUCCGUCCUAAGGAGCAGGUUGUGGGUUAGAGUCCCACUCAAGUCA
This 74-nucleotide transfer RNA is filed under the name Caudoviricetes sp. RNAcentral's name for it is "tRNA-Arg". It matches the Rfam family "tRNA". Rfam says of the family: Transfer RNA (tRNA) molecules are approximately 80 nucleotides in length. The record is from RNAcentral. Lineage: Duplodnaviria; Heunggongvirae; Uroviricota; Caudoviricetes.